RNAcentral lists this ribosomal RNA (253 nucleotides) under uncultured bacterium. RNAcentral's name for it is "partial 16S ribosomal RNA". It matches the Rfam family "Bacterial small subunit ribosomal RNA", at positions 524 to 776 of the family's 1533-position model. The record is from RNAcentral.
UACGAAGGGAGCUAGCGUUGUUCGGAAUCACUGGGCGUAAAGCGCACGUAGGCGGAUGUGUCAGUCAGGGGUGAAAUCCCGGAGCUCAACUUCGGAACUGCCUUUGAUACUGAGAGUCUUGAGUUCGGGAGAGGUGAGUGGAACUGCGAGUGUAGAGGUGAAAUUCGUAGAUAUUCGCAAGAACACCAGUGGCGAAGGCGGCUCACUGGCCCGAUACUGACGCUGAUGCACGAAAGCGUGGGGAGCAAACAGG